AACGAUUUAUUCAUUAGUUAUUGAGGUUUAAAUCUAUUAUAGGAAUUAAUAGGAUUUGAUUUAGGAUUUGGUUAGGAUUUGGUUUAGGGUUUAGGAUUUGGUUUAGGAGUUAGUUAGGAUUUAUUUAGGAUUUGGAUUAGAUUUUGGUUUAGGGUUUAGAAUUUGGUUUAAGAUUUAUUUAGCAUUUUAAUUAGGAUUUAGAGUUUGAAUUAGGAUUUUAUUUAGGAUUUAGAAUUUGGUUUAGGAUUUAGGGUUUGGAUUAGGAUUUGGUUUAGGAUUUAGAAUUUGGAUUAGGAUUUGGUUAGGAUUUGAUUUAGGAUUUAGGAUUUGAUUAGGAUUUGGUUUAAGAUUUGAUUGGAGUGUGGAUUAAGAUUUGUUUAGGAUUUGAUUUAGGAUUUAGGAUUUUACUAGGAUUUAAGAUUUAAUUAGUUUCAGCCUAAAGUUUGAAUGAAGUUCAAUAGGAUUUUAACUAGAAUUAAAUUGAGAUUGAAUUGAGAUGUAUUUGAGUGAUAUUUGUGAUCCUUCUAAUAUUUCUUUAAGAAUUCUUAUUGUUUGUUUGAAAUUUCUUUAAGAUUUUUUUGAAUUUGAUUAAGCUUGCUUAGUAUUAUUAUGGUUUAAUUAGAGCAUUGUUAGUAUUAUAUUAGAAUUAAGAUUUUGUUAUUGCAAUUUCCAUUCUUCCUUCCACAGCCAAGGGUCCGGAGCAUUCUCAAGUAAGACUUCACGUAUUACAACAUAUUUGGUGAACCCGACGUGAAACGCGUGAAGUGGAAGGAAUUUGGUUUAUUUUUUGGAUUAUUUGAAUUUUGGAGAAAGAAUUGAAGGAAAAUGGAAGGAGAAAUUUUUGAUGGUGCUUCAAGUGGAGUUAGAAGAGGAGCUUCGAUUGGAGGACAAGGUAUGCAUUUUGAUCCUAACUCUGCAAGCAUACUUAAAGCUUUGGCAUUAUUCAUGCAACAACAAUAGCAACAUGUUAAAGACUGCAAAGAAAAUAUGACUAACAAAGCAUUACAAGCGGUUGUGGACAAGAUCGAUCAAUUCGAAAGAAAGGAUAUUAAAAAAUAUUUAAGAUGUUAUAUAAAGGAAAUGGAAUUGAAGCGUAUUUAAAAAAAAAGAGAUGGUUCAAUUAUUUGAAAUAGCCUGUGCUCGAGAGAUAAAAAAUCGAGAAAAGUCUCUUAUACAACAUUUUGGAAGUUCAUGGGAGAAAUUUUCUCAAGCAUUGAAGAAUGAAUUUUUCUUAGAAGAUAGUGAUAGGCUUACAAGGUCUUUUUUUGAAUGGAUUGAAAGGCUAAAGAAGGGCCUUCUAGCAACAGAAUUAUUAAGGGAGUUUGAAAAGUAAUAUUCUUCUUUAUCAAAGAAAGAAAGAUAAUUAUUGGAUCCAAGUAAGGUGGAGCUCUUUCUUCAAGUAGCCGAUGGAAAGUUGUAAGAGAACUUAGAAAUCAUGCUUGAAGAUAAAGAAGAAGAUUGAUAAUAAAUUAGAAAAGGGUAGAGGAGGCUAUAGGGUUGUUGACAAAAAGAGAAAAGAAGAAAGAUAGGAGGGAGGGGUGAUCAAAGACCAUUACCAACAUCUAAGGUAAAGGUAUCUAGUACCCAUCUGACAUCUUUGAUUCAACCUUCAAUGGCUACAUCAAAGAAAGAAGAAAUAGGCAUUGAUGAAAUCAUACAUGGGAUAAGAGAUUUGCAAAUAAAAUUUGUAAAAUUUGAAGAGAAGGAUCAAUCAUCAAGAAUUUCAACAAAACAAAAAUCAGGUCCAAUGGAAGAUGUAGUACAUAGAUGCAUGUGGUGUGAUAGCAUAGAUCACUCAAGGAGGAAAUGUGAAGAUUUUACAGAGGCAUUACAUAAAGGAGUUAUUUUUUUUAAAGAUGGUAUAAUACACUCAAAAGAAAGUGAAAAAAUUAGAAACAAAUUUUGGUAAAGGAAGAAUGAAGUUCUUUAUUGGAGAUACUUUUAAAGUGCAUACAAUCUCAAGCAAUAAAGAAUCAACAUAUUAAAUGGAAGCAGAUCCUAGUAGAUAUUUAAGUAUAAAUCUUGAAUUUCCAAGAGAAUCUAGUUCUUUGUGGAUAAGUGCAAUGAGUUAUGCUAAAAGGAGAAAUUUUACUAGAGAUGAUUUAAAACCUGUUGGUAAUAACAUUCAAAAAAUUACUAGGUGGGAUGAUCUAGUAGAUAGAUUAUCUAUACAUGCUCAUAUUGUAAGGAGUCAACAUGAAGCAUUAAUAGAAGAAAAAUGAAGGAAAAAUGAAAAUAAUGAAGAGCCUUCAAAAAGAACUACAAGGGGAGAAAAAAUAUGACAAUAAAAGAAUCCUAUUCAUAAAGAGACAAUAGUGAACAUUCUUACAAAAGGAAGGGAAAUUAAAAAAGAAAAAGCAAAGGCUCUUGCUUAUAAUUUACAAUCAGAUAUUGAAGCUGCUAUAGAUUUGAAGAAGGUAUUGGAGGAGCGAAUUUUAAGUAGAAAGGUUGAAUUCACAAUUAGUAAAAUUCUAGGAAUUGUAAAGCAUGAGUUUUAUGAAGUUAUUAUUGAUACAAUAAAGAGAAAACGACAAUCUAUAGGAGACUCUAUGACAUCAAAUGUACAAGGAAUAAGAAUAAUAGAAAGAAAUGAAGAUUAAGAAGAUGAAAUAUAAAAUUUUGAGGAUGUCUUAUGAGUAAGAUUUGCAGAAAAAGAAGAUAUCAUUCAAACUUCUAUCCAUUAUUCUAGAAGUCAUUGUGCAAGGGCUACAAAGGAGACUUUAAUAAAAUUGGAAAAUUUAAAAGAACCAGUUGUAGGAUUAAUUGAUCAUGGUUCUGAAAUCAAUUUGAUGUCAAAAGAAUUGUAUAACAAGGAAAAAUGGCCUAUUGAUAUUGAACAUGAGUGGAUGAUAAGAGCUGCAAACAAUUCAAAAGAAGAUUUGUAUGGAGCAUGUCUAAAUAUCAAGGUGACAAUAGGAGAUGUUAUUCAUGAACAAAAUUUCUUUGUGCAAGACAUGACUACAUAUUCUAUUAUAUUAGGACAACUAUAUAUUAUUUCUACACGAAUGGAAACAAAAGUAAUAGAUGAUGGUUCAGCCUAUGCAAGAAUAAGAAGCCAAGAUGGGAUAAAAGCAGUUCAAUUUUUAAUUGUUUGUGCUAAUCAUGAGAGAAAUCAUGAUAAAUUGAGAGAGAAGCCAUUAUUAAAUGAGAAAUUUGAAGACCUUGAGGAUUUUUACCGCAUACCAUUGUAAGGCAGGGUUGCAAUGAAUUAGAGAAAGAAAAGCUUCUACUUAAUUUAGAAGAAGAAUCAUUAUCUACUGAACUUAUUGAGAUGACACAAGAUUAUGUAUUGACUUUUAAGACUAUUGAUAAGAUGAAAAGGAGGGACAGAUGUUAUAUUAAAAUUAUUGAGCAAAAUUUGAAAGAAAAUGGAGAAUUGGUUGAAAAUGAAUUUAUUUCUGGAGCAUAUGAAGAAGUAGGUUUUAUAGAUACUAUAGAGGAAUUAAAUUAUCUAUUACAAUGUAGGUUACAAGUAGAGAAUAGAGCUAUUAAUGUAUUUUUUAAAGAAUUUUAUGAUGAAAUUUAAAGAUUUACAGAAAAUUUAAGUCACCAAGAGGUAUAUGUUGAAACCAAGUAUAAAUCAAUAGCAAAGAAGGUCAAACCAGUAGGUUUACCACUGCCAUUUGAUUGUGAAGAAAAGUGGAGUAUCGAUACAAUCAAAGUUAAGAGAUCCAAGGAAGAUAUGGCAUAAAUUUACGGAUGUUACAUUAGAUAGAUUAAAUGUUGGAGGCGAUGGAUUUUUGACAAAAUGUGAAGAAAAAUGUUUUAGAGAUAUGCUUUCACGUCAUAGAAAGACUUUUGUAUUUGAGGCACAUGAAAUUGGGUGUGUUGAUCCAAGUAUUGUUGUACAUAUGGUUAUUUUUACUAUUCCUCAUGAACCAUGGAAUUUCAAAAAUUUCAAUGGAAAGAAGAACAAUGGAAAGCUAUGGAAAAAUAGAAAGAACUUCUUUCUUCAUCUCUAACUUUGAAGAAAGUAAAUCAUAAAGAUGGAAGGCCAUUGGUAUUAAGAGUUGAUGCAAGUCCAAUUGGAAUAGGUUGGGCGGUUGGACAAGAUGAUGAAUAAGGGAAUAGAUAUGUAGUAAGAUUUUGAGCAAAGGUAUUGAAUUUCAAGCAAAGGACAAAUGCACAAAUCAAAAGAGACUUAUGGGGUGUAGUAAUAGCUAUGAAAAAUGAAAAAGAGUACUUGAUUGAGGCAUCAGUAGUUAUAGAAAGAGAUUGUCUAUCUUUGUUAGGCAUGAUUAUAAGUUGUUCAAUUCUUGAUAUUGCUAUGUUGAGGUAGAUAGCAUAUAUCAAAUCUAUGAAUCAAGAAUUUAAACAUAUUAUAGGGAAAGAAAAUUUAGUUCUAGAUAUGUUAUCAAGAGCAAGGCAUAUUGAUGAAGAAAAGAUGAUUGAUUUAGAAGAUGAUGUGGGUACAAAAUUUUAUACCAAUGCGUUAACAAAGGAGAACGGUGUAUGUUUUAAUAUAUCAUUGAAAAUAUUUUUAAGAGAUUUAUAUGAAAAUGAAUAGAAAGAUUUUGGAGAGUAUUUGAGUACAUUAAAGUGACAAAAAAGUUGGACGAAUUAAGAAUUUAAGAAAAUCCGUAAGAAAGCCUAUGGAUAUUUUUUACAUGAUGGAUAUUUAUGGAAGUAUCCAAAAAAGAGAGGAGAAGUACCUCAAAGGGUGAUAUGUGGUUUAGAAGCUCAACAAAGGAUUAUUAAAGAAUUUUAUGAAAAUUUAUGGGUAGGGCAUCGAGGUAUUUGAAUAACAUUCACUAAGUUAAGAGAAAAAUAUUGGUGGAAGGGAAUGUACAAAGACAUAGCAAAAUAUGUAGAAUCUUGUGAGACUUGCCAAGUGUAUUCAAAUAUUUGGCAUCGAGAUGGGUUACAUCCAACAUAUCCAUUGGCUUUACAUUACAAUUGAGUGGUGGAUUUAGUGGCAAUGCCUAUAGGACUUGGACAAAUGAAGUAUUUGGUACUUGCAUGAGAAGAUUUAUCAAAUACGGUUGAAGGACGAGCAUUAAGAUCAAAGGAUACUUAAAGAGUAUGCUGAUUUCUAUUAGAAGAAGUUAUUUGUUGCUAUGGUUGUAUUGGAAAAAUUAUGGUGGAUAGGGAUGAAUUGGAUGCAAAGAAAGCACAAGAAUUCUUUAGUAGAAUAGGAAUUAAAAUUUCUUUAACAACAGCAUAUAACCCAGAAGGUAAUGGUAAAAGUGAGCGUAGACAUUCACCUAUUGUUAAGGCAUUAGUAAAGGCAUGCAAUAGCAAAGCACAUGAAUGGCCUAGACUACUACUAUUUAUAUUAUGGGCAGAUCGUACAACUCAUAGUUCGGUAAUAAGUUAUAUGCCUUUUGAAUUAAUAUAUAGACAAAAAUCAGUAAUUCCAAUAGAAGAUGUAGUACCUACAUGGGGUAUAUUGCCUUGGAAGAAUGAUCUCAACAGAGAAGAACUUUUAGAAUUAUGGAUUCAACAACUAGAAAGAAGAUCCAAUGAUAUUGAAAUAGCAAUAGAAAAAUUGAAAGAAGCAAGAAAAAAAAAUAAGGAAAGAUUUGAUAAAAAACAUCGACUACGACUUAAGGCUAUUGAAGAUGGUGAUUGGAUACUAAUUUUUGAUAGUAGCUUAGACAAUCAACAUAGCACUAUAAAGAAGUUUGCAAAGAGAUGGUUUGGACCUUAUAUUGUCAAAAAGACACACAACAAUGGAAUAUAUUCAUUAUAAGAACUUGAUUGUAGAGAAUUGAAGGUACUCAUAGCAGGCAAACGAAUCAAGUUAUUUAAACAAAGAGAUGAGGGCAUUUGUUUUGAUGAAGAACAAACUCCAAUACAAGAUAUUGAGAUUGGAAUAGAAGAGCAUAUUGAAGAUCAAGAAUUGUACUAAGAUGAAGAACAUUCUACAUCACUAUAUUGAAGAAUUGUUGGCGCAUGUCGAAGGAUGUACAGAUUCAAGGGAGAUGGAUGUUAUGAUAUAACACGACUAAUAGGUAAAAGAGUGUAGAGAUUAUUAUAAUUUAAGAGAUCUUAGUUCAAAGUAUUAAAAAAAAUUAUCUUAGAAAUAUAGUUAAUAGUCAAAGGGGUAGAAAAAUUAAAAGGUACCAAUGCUGCCUUUUAGAAAGGUGACUUCUAUUUACUUUGUAGCACCAUAAGUAAGGCAAAUCAAAGUAGAUUGGAAAAAUAAAUAAUAUAGGCAUCUUUAAAAGAAAGUUAAGAGUAAGUUUUAGAAAAAAUUACUUAGAAAAACUAGAUAUUGAUACCCAGAGAAGGCCGGUUAUGAACCAAGAUCAAAAUCAGACCUUGGGGUACAAAACUGAGUCUCAACAACGACUCUAGGGCUCUUUUGGAGAUCAGAGAAAGAGGUUUGAUAGCAGACUGAAUAAGCUUUCUAUAAGCAUUAAUUUUGGAUGAUUUGAAGUUGUUAUGACUUUGUAAUAGCUUUGCAAAGUCAAGGAUUGUUUCGGAUGACUUGGAUUUUAUGAAAUAAAAUAGGGUUUAUAUUUUGGAUGAUUUCAAGAGUUUUGUAGUAGAUCUACGGAUGAAAUUUUUUGGGUUCAAGGUUAUAGUUGUGUUUAAUAUGUGCCGUAAAUUUGAGCUUGAUCUAAUGGUUUAAUUAAGGAAUAUUGAGGUUUAAGUGGGUCAAGGUCUCAGAAAGUAGAAUUCUGGGUUUAGUAAGGGUUUUUAAGAUUUCUUGCAAUAUAAUAGUUGGAUUGGAGUAAAACUUAUAUGAAAGGAUGUUAAUUUUUUUUUUCUAUGUAAAUGAGAAUUUUGAGACCAAUCGAACUGUGCAAAGUAGAAAUAUUGGUUGUGGAAGAUUGGCAUUAAGAUUGGAGAAGGAGGCUAGCCAAUACCCGAGCUCAUUUUUGAAGUUAUCGUCAAUUUAGUAACUCCGAUUCUUUUUUAAUUUUUUUGUGCUUAUUUUCAACUUAUUUUUUAAGAAGUGUGAAAAAUUUGAGUUAAGAUCAAUGAUUUAUUCAUUAGUUAUUGAGGUUUAAAUCUAUUAUAGGUAUUACUAGGAUUUGAUUUAGGAUUUGGUUAGGAUUUGGUUUAGGGUUUAGGAUUUGGUUUAGGAUUUAGGAUUUAGUUUAGAAUUUGGAUUAGGGUUUUAUUUAGGAUUUAGAAUUUGAUUUAGGAUUUAGGAUUUGAUUAGGAUUUAGUUUAGGAUUUGGUUAGGGUUUGAUUUAAGUUUGUUUAGGAUUUGAUUAAGGAUUUAGGAUUUUAUUAGGAUUUAAGAUUUAAUUAGUUUCGGUCUAAAUUUUGAAUGAAGUUCAAUAGGAUUUUAACUAGAAUUAAAUUGAGAUUGAAUUGAGAUGUAUUUGAAUGAUAUUUGUGAUCCUUCUAAUAUUUCUUUAA
This 7317-nucleotide long non-coding RNA is filed under the name Physcomitrium patens. Its description in RNAcentral is "long non-coding RNA (PPAT_LNC009943)". Lineage: Eukaryota; Viridiplantae; Streptophyta; Bryopsida; Funariales; Funariaceae. The record is from RNAcentral.